RNAcentral lists this unclassified non-coding RNA (3365 nucleotides) under Dimorphilus gyrociliatus. Its description in RNAcentral is "dgyrCDS10431". The record is from RNAcentral. Lineage: Eukaryota; Metazoa; Annelida; Polychaeta; Dinophilidae.
AUAAGUCAACAAAAAAGUGUCCUGACCUCUAUACUAGCAGAAUAUUGUUACCUGCUAUAAAAUUGAAAAGAACCUUAAAUUAAAUAAAAAUUCUUGUGCUUGCUGAUGAAUUUUUGGUGAAAAUCACUUGACCCUCACUUUGUAGAAUAAAGUUUAACUCUUUAUUCUUCAGCCAUGCCGAAAGUACUGUCAUAUACUAUUAACGACGGUGUUGCUGUCGUCACUGUCGAUACCCCAAAUUCUAAGGUACAAAAUGUUUGUUAUUUAAUAUAUGAACAUACGAGUAACUUUUGAUUUAGCAAAUCGUUUGUUGUUUUUGGUUAAAUGUGAAUUUAUUUAUGGUUGAUUGUUUCUCAGGUUAAUACACUUUCCAUAGACAACGCAGAUGAAUUUAAAGAAGUUCUAAAUAUUUUGAAAAAUAACGAUGAUGUAAAAGCGACUGUACUUAUAUCAGGAAAGCCUGAUUGCUUUUUUGCAGGAGCAGAUAUUAAGUAAGUUAAUACACUUAAUCAUUCGAAACAUCUAAGUAUUAAAAAAAAAGGUAGUGUCCAUAUCCUAUGUAGUAUAAUAUUAAUAAAUUAGCUCAUUCGACAGAGGUAUGUUCAUAUAUACACAGUAUAUGUACAGAAUAUAAGAAAAAAUACUGCUAUUAUUAUGUUAAUACUUAUCUUUUUGACCAUUUUACAAAUGAGAUCUGAUUAUCGCUAGCCAGAUUGUGGUAGGCUUGUUUAUUUUUGUCUAUUUCGAUGUUCCAAUUGUUAUCAGUUCUACUCUACACAGAGGGUGAAGAGUUGCUUUACAGAGAUAUCUUACUUAAUAAUCAAUCAUUCAAUCAAAGUUCAAAUAGAGUAUUACCAAAAUGCAUCAAAGGUUAGGAGUAGUAAAGUUGCAGAACUUAAUAAACUGGUAAAAGUUCAACGAGAGUAGAUGGGGGGCUAAGAGUAGAUAAUUGGAAAUUUAAGAAUUGCCGGAUAACAUGAAAUCAUCAUUUGACUAAUAAUGUAUUAUAGUAUGCUAGAAUCAUGUAAGACUGCUGAAGAAAUACAACAUUUGUCAAGAAUAUGUAAAGGAACUUUUAAUGAAAUAGCUGAAAGUAAAAAACCAAUUGUAGCAGCUAUAAUGGGUCAAUGCUUAGGUGCCGGACUUGAGACAGCCUUAGCCUGUCAUUAUCGAAUAGCUGUCAGGGACAAAAAAACUGUUUUAGCUGUACCGGAAGUGAUGAUUGGUCUCCUGCCUGGAGCUGGUGGAACGCAAAGACUUUUGCGCUUACUAUCUCUUCCUGAUGCAUUUGACAUGAUGCUAACGGGAAAGAAUAUACGCCCUGAUAAAGCUAAGACAAUCGGUCUAGUACACAUGCUUAUUGACCCGAAAGGAGCUUCAGAUUCAAAAGAAUCGAAAGAAGCUACAAGAAAACAUUUGGAACAAGUUGCAAUUGAAACAGCCAAGGGCUUAGUAGACGGUUCAAUUCAAGCAUUACCAAGGAGAAAGGGAUGGGUAGAAACCAUUACUGAAUACAUAAUGUGGUUUAAUUUGGGUAGAUAUUUCUUUAUGACACAAGCUCGAAAUAGGGUAAUGAAUAUGACGCAAGGCCACUAUCCUGCACCAUUAAGAAUAUUAGAUGUUGUUGAGGAAACACUAAAGAGUGGUUAUGAACGAGGAAACCAGUUAGAAACCAGAUAUUUUGGAGAAUUAGGUGUAACAAAAGAAUCAAAAGCUCUUAUUGGUUUGUUUCAUGGGCAGACGCACUGCAAAAAGAAUCACUAUGGUUCCCCUAGUCCUAUUAAAAAAGUUGGUAUACUGGGAACUAAUUCUAUUGGUGCUGGUAUUGCAGAAAUAACCAUUUUUAAAGGUUAUCCUCUUUCACUGUAUGAUAAAUCAAAGGAAAAUUUAGAACAAGGUUUAAUAUAUAUAAAGAACAAUCUCAAGCAACGAGUUUUAAGGAAACAAAUAAGCGAUAAUGAAAAAGACAAAUUGGUAUCUAAAUUGGAGACUGGCACGGAAUUGGAAAGCAUAUCAAAUGUUGAUUUUGUUAUUGAAGCUUCAACUGAGAAUUUUGAUAAAAAAUGCAAACUUUUACUUGAAAUUGAGUCUAUAGUAAAGCCGUCUUGUGUCAUAGCUGUCCAAACAUUAUUUAAUCCCAUCGAAAAAGUAGCAAAAAGUGCAAAGCGACUCGAUAAGAUAAUUGGUAUGCACUAUUUCUCACCACUGGCAAAGUCACAGCUAUUAGAAAUUGUUUCAUCCAAGAGUGCAACCAAAGAAACCAUAGCAACUGCAGUGGAUUUAGGUUUAAAGCAGGGGAAAAUUGUGAUUGUUGUUGGCGAUGGACCUUGCUUUUAUACAACUAGAAUUUUAUGCAUUCUCGUAGAUGAAUUAGUAAGUAUAUUAAGAGAAGGAAUAAAACCAAAACAAUUAGAGGAUAUGACAAAAAAAAUAGGUUGGCCUAUGGGAUUAUGCUCGGUUGUUGAUGAAUUUGGCAUUGAUAAUAUUUAUGAGGCCUCAAAGGUUCUCUGUAGUCAUUAUGACGAAAAUCUUUUGUCAAAAAACCUCAUUAUCCUAGAACAAUUGGUUAAGAAGGGAAUGCUUGGUAAAAAAAUUGGCUUAGGCUUGUUUGAAUAUGAUCCUACAAGAAAAUUAAGUAUAGACAAUCCUGCUGCCAUUAAAAUAAUAGACGAUAAUAAAAUUUCACCUAAGGAAAGUUUGACUACUCAAAACAUACAAUGGCGUUUAGUGUCUAGAAUAAUUAAUGAAGCAGUUUUAUGUCUGGAAGAAGGAACUCUAAAAUCCCCUUUGGACGGUGACAUAGGUGCAGUAUUUGGUCUAGGCUUUCCACCAUUCUUAGGAGGACCCUUCCGUUAUUUAGACAUACACGGAGCUGAACAAUUAGUAAAGAGAAUGGAAAACUUUCGAAAAGUUUAUGGAGACGCUUUCAAGCCUUGUAAAUUACUUAUUGAACAUUCAAAAGAUUCAAAAAAACUGUUUCGUUCCUAAUUUGAAUAAUUAAUGAAUGAAAAGAAAUAAAAAACCUCUCCAAUCAAAGAAAAUAUAGGAGUUUUUAAAGACCCUAUUUAUUUUACUCGAUAUAUUAACGUCUAGUUGUUUGAUGAUAAAAUUCAAUUUAUUCCUUAGAGCUUUCAAAUGAUUGACGUCUCUUUAUCCUGGGAGUUGAUAGUUUUUGAUCUAUCUUUAGAUGACGAUUUUUUUAAAGUAGUUGUCGCACGAUUAUUUCCAAAGGAUAUUCAACCAACUGGCUUAUAGAAUCUAUGAAUUUUAUCCUAAAUUACACAUUUAUCUUAAUGAUAAUAAAGCUUUCAUAAAUAUAUUUAGUAGUUCUCCACUCAAAGCAGUUCAAUUCCUUAUUGUUUAAC